Microplitis demolitor is the source of this 594-nucleotide long non-coding RNA. RefSeq lists it as uncharacterized. NCBI's taxonomy places the organism in Eukaryota, Metazoa, Arthropoda, Insecta, Hymenoptera, Braconidae. The record is from RefSeq and is a predicted model, not a curated record. The transcript has 4 exons.
UAUCAUGAUUGAUAAAAAGACGAAAGUUGCGGUACCGGUGAAAGAUAUUUACAAGUUUAACCCGGAGAAAUACGACAAAAUGAAGUAUUAUUUUUUUAAUUAUGGUGAUUCAAUGGAGAAGGGUUUAAUCCUCGGAACUGAAGUUAAUUCGCAGUGCAUCUGAUUUAUCGGACAUAAAUGUUUCACCUAGAAAAGUCAGUAAAGAACCUAAUAAUAACGCUCUAUCGAGAUCUCUUGAAAAUCAAGUUGUUCAUUUGAUAGAUUCUACCAGAAAGCGACAACAAGAAAAAAACGAGAAAACACCAUCUUUUAAAAAAGUAAAACAUGAUGAUAACAAUAAGUCACCAACUUUAACGUUGGUUUGUUUGCACAUUACUUGUCAUUCUAUUUUUACGAAAUCAUUGAAACCGUUAGAAAGAACUCAAGAGGUGGGAAAAAUGAGACAACAUAUAUAUAAAUAUAUUGGGAAUCUUAAAGAUAAAACAAAUAAUCCAAAAAAAACGAAACAGUCUAAAGAAAAAGUAAAUAAAGAUAUCGGAACAGAUGUAAAUGUUGAAGGAGAAGACUAUGAAAAAGGUGGAAACAAUGACAAUA